This 124-nucleotide ribosomal RNA is filed under the name Diaphorina citri (Asian citrus psyllid). The record is from RNAcentral. Lineage: Eukaryota; Metazoa; Arthropoda; Insecta; Hemiptera; Psyllidae.
ACCAGCGGCGAUAGCACGUUGAAUAUAUACCAGUUCCCGAUGGAUCACUGAAGCUAAGCAACGUUGCGCGUGGUUGGUAUCCAGCGGCGAUAGCACGUUGAAUAUAUACCAGUUCCCGAUGGAU